RNAcentral lists this long non-coding RNA (1773 nucleotides) under Triticum aestivum (bread wheat). RNAcentral describes it as "long non-coding RNA (TAES_LNC011455)". The record is from RNAcentral. Lineage: Eukaryota; Viridiplantae; Streptophyta; Magnoliopsida; Poales; Poaceae.
CCACUUCUCUGUCUCGUUUUCAAGCUCAAAACCACCCAUGGUCACCGCUACCUCCCCGUCAUUGCCGCAGCCACCGUCGUCUCCCGCGUGUGGGAGCACGUCCAGGAGGUCUGCUGCAGCCGGAUCCGUCCGUUCCGGGGACCAACUCAAGCCGGGACGGUCUGUGCGCUCGCCAUCGACCUCGUCUACGCCGCGUACAUCGCCUGCAUCCAUCGUCGAUUGCCGCCACGCUGGUUCGUCCCCGAGCACCCUGACCACGUCCCUAAGUUCACUGUCAGCUCCUCUGCCCACUCCCCCUGCUCGCCCUCUCGAUCCGUCGCCGUUUAGCCGGCCCCCACUUCAGCCGCCAUGGAUGGAGCUUGCGCUCGCCCGCCCCUGCAUAUCCUCAGGCCGAGCCCUGUUGCCCCCCGAGCCGCCCGCGCACGCGCUUGCAAGCCCUGCGUCGCGCCCUUGCCUCACCCCUGUAUGCUCGCGCGUGCGCGCCCGUACCCGCUACUGCGCGGCCCUACUCCCGCCGCCGCUGCUGCUUGUUAUCGCUGCUGCCGCUUGCCUCUGUUGCUGCUUGCUCCUGUUGCUGCACUCCUACCGCUGCCACAUGCUGCUAGCGCCCCCGCGUCUUGCGCCUCCCCGUCCAUUCUCGUCGUGCCGUGCUUCGGCCAUGACCGGCCUAACAUGCGUGCACGCGAGCAUCCAACACUCCUGGACAUGUUCGUGCUCCUGUGCGUGCUCUGCAGCCAGCUAACAAAAGUGAUUAGUGCUAGGAUUUGUUUACUGUUAGGUAUCACAUGUCAACCCAAAUAGAUCAGGCCAAUUUUUUUUAUUAGAACUAGUGUUUUGAUUCGAGUCAAUUACAUGUGGGCCAUGUCCCAGUUGUUGACCAGUCAAAUCUCAAUUGUUGACUGGGUCAACCUAGUUGACCGUCCCCACAAGUCAGCCUUUGUGGCUAAACAGCCACCGGGUACACAUAACACGUAUUAUAUAAAUUCGAAUUAGGUAUAUUCCAGAAAAUACAAAAAUUGUUUAAAACUUUGGAAAUUCAUAGAAAAUAAACCUUAGCUCGGAUGAAAAAGUUUUACACAUGAAAGUUGCUCAGAACGACGAGACGUAUCUGAAUACGCUGUCCUUCGCCCGCCACACGUCCCUAUCAUAGCAAACGUUGAACCUUUCCCCUCCGGUUCAUCUGUCUGACGGACGUCCGGAACCGGGGAAACUUCCGUGAAUGUUUUCCCCCUUCGCCAGUAUUGCCCAGCACUGCGUUACAACAUCUCUAGCACCACUUUUUGCCUUGUUAUGCUUUUAUUUGCGUGUAUUUACUCUUUCUUCCCCCUCUUCUCUCCGAUAGACCUCGAGAUCGUUGCUGAUGCCCCUGUGAUCGGCUACAUCACCGACGACACUUCUUCCCUUUCAGCGGAGCUUUCAGGCAAGCCCCCUGAGGGAGUCCUGGAUUAGGGGGUAUCCGGACAGCCGGACUAUAUACAUCGUUCGGACUAUUGAAGCGUGAAGAUACAAGACUCAAGACUCUGGCUCGUGUCCGGAUGAGACUCUCCUUUGCGUGGAAGACAAGCUUGGCAAUCCGGAUAUUAUGUUUCCUUCCUUGUAACCGACUCCAUGUAAACCCUAGCCCUCUCCGGUGUCUAUAUAAACCGGAGUGGAUGGUCCUUAGAAGGCCGAUCACAAUUACAAUCAUACCAUCAUAGGCUAGCUCUUAGGGUUUAGCCUCUACGAUCUCGUGGUAGAUCUACUCUUGUACUACUCAUAUCUUCAAUAUUAAUC